Molecule: ribosomal RNA, 689 nt
Filed under: uncultured beta proteobacterium
Lineage: Bacteria; Pseudomonadati; Pseudomonadota; Betaproteobacteria
Description: bacterial SSU rRNA
Rfam family: Bacterial small subunit ribosomal RNA
Source: RNAcentral
ACGAGUGGCGAACGGGUGAGUAAUAUAUCGGAACGUGCCCAGUCGUGGGGGAUAACUGCUCGAAAGAGCAGCUAAUACCGCAUACGACCUGAGGGUGAAAGCGGGGGAUCGCAAGACCUCGCGCGAUUGGAGCGGCCGAUAUCAGAUUAGGUAGUUGGUGGGGUAAAGGCCCACCAAGCCAACGAUCUGUAGCUGGUCUGAGAGGACGACCAGCCACACUGGGACUGAGACACGGCCCAGACUCCUACGGGAGGCAGCAGUGGGGAAUUUUGGACAAUGGGCGCAAGCCUGAUCCAGCCAUGCCGCGUGCGGGAAGAAGGCCUUCGGGUUGUAAACCGCUUUUGUCAGGGAAGAAAAGGUUCUGGUUAAUACCUGGGACUCAUGACGGUACCUGAAGAAUAAGCACCGGCUAACUACGUGCCAGCAGCCGCGGUAAUACGUAGGGUGCAAGCGUUAAUCGGAAUUACUGGGCGUAAAGCGUGCGCAGGCGGUUAUGCAAGACAGAGGUGAAAUCCCCGGGCUCAACCUGGGAACUGCCUUUGUGACUGCAUGGCUAGAGUACGGUAGAGGGGGAUGGAAUUCCGCGUGUAGCAGUGAAAUGCGUAGAUAUGCGGAGGAACACCGAUGGCGAAGGCAAUCCCCUGGACCUGUACUGACGCUCAUGCACGAAAGCGUGGGGAGCAAACAGG